RNAcentral lists this ribosomal RNA (1008 nucleotides) under Triticum aestivum (bread wheat). RNAcentral describes it as "partial small subunit ribosomal RNA". The record is from RNAcentral. Lineage: Eukaryota; Viridiplantae; Streptophyta; Magnoliopsida; Poales; Poaceae.
AUGGCUCCUACUCUGGAGGAUGUGUCACUUUUGCUCGGACUACCAUUGGCAGGUCAUGCCGUAGGACCGUUGGACGCACCGGCUGGUUGGGAGCGAGCUCUUACAGAAUGUUUUCACGGUGUUUUUCCGGAUGCUCCCGAUCCGGUAUGGGAGCAUCACGGACCUAAGUAUGAGCGGUUGCUAAAUUUCCGGAUCCAGAACUUCCGGGCGCCGUUGACUGCGGAACAGAUCGCUCGGAGCCUCGAGGCCUACUUACUGUGGCUUUUCGGCAAGGUGAUGUUCACGGAGAACCAUGUCACCACUAUUAGCGCCCUCUACAUCCCUAUGGCACUCGAGAUAGCGAGCGCUCAGAUGGCGGAUCAGAUCAGACAGAGGAGUUGGGGUUCGGCGGUGUUAGCGGCUACAUACCGAGGUAUGUGCAACGGUUGCCAGCUUACAUCGAGAAAGCCAGCCCUUCUUGGAUGCCCUCUAUUCCUACAGCUGUGGUCGUGGGAGAGGUUCUCUAUAGGGCGACCAGAUGUACGUGUUCAUGAGCCUAUAGACGCCAUGUUUGAUGUUGACGGCAUCGACAUGCCUACUUUCUGUCUGUGUUGGACUCGUCGCAAGAGACGCUUUGCUAGUGAUCAGACCAGGAAGGCGUACACAGCAUUGAACGAGCAGUUCGAUGCGUACACCGGGGUCAUCUGGCAGCCCUACACGGAAGCAGCCAUACAAGCGAGAUACCCUGCUGGUAUGUCUGUGCUAUGCACAAGGGACCGAGAUUACUGGAUGACAAAAUCGAAGAUCAUCUUCGAUGUCUUCGUCGAGGAGAUGGCACAACAGAGGGUUAUGAGGCAAUUUGGUCUUCUGCAGUUGGAGCUACCUCCCCCUAUAGAGAACCCGGUGCCAGCAGACAUCCACAGGACGACAAGGAAGGGCAUGAACAGGACAACUGCUGACUGGCUAGUUAGAAUGGGAGACAGCAAACACAAAUCUAUGGCACGAGAAUCACAAUUUCGAUCUCGAUGA